This 411-nucleotide ribosomal RNA is filed under the name uncultured Thiofaba sp. Its description in RNAcentral is "bacterial SSU rRNA". It matches the Rfam family "Bacterial small subunit ribosomal RNA", at positions 506 to 916 of the family's 1533-position model. The record is from RNAcentral. Lineage: Bacteria; Pseudomonadati; Pseudomonadota; Gammaproteobacteria; Chromatiales; Halothiobacillaceae.
UGUCAGCCGCCGCGGUAAUACGGAGGGUGCAAGCGUUAAUCGGAAUUACUGGGCGUAAAGCGCAUGUAGGCGGUUUGAUCAGUCGGAUGUGAAAUCCCCGAGCUUAACUUGGGAAUGGCAUUCGAAACUGUCAGGCUAGAGUAGAUUAGAGGAGAGGGGAAUUCCGCGUGUAGCAGUGAAAUGCGUAGAUAUGCGGAGGAACACCAAUGGCGAAGGCACCUCUCUGGGAUCAUACUGACGCUGAGAUGCGAAAGCGUGGGGAGCAAACAGGAUUAGAUACCCUGGUAGUCCACGCCCUAAACGAUGUCGACUAGUUGUUGAAGGGUUUAACCUUUCGGUGACGCAGCUAACGCAUUAAGUCGACCGCCUGGGGAGUACGGCCGCAAGGUUGAAACUCAAAGAAAUUGACGG